GAAGCCCUCCAUCUGGAUGUGGUCACAGAGGGAAGUGAGAUUGCAAUCCAGCGCCCGGAGCUCGCUACUGCUCCGGUCAUUGUCCGAGAGCUGAGAGAGUUGAAUCGUCAUUUUUAUCUGGUGCGGUCCAUAAGUUCGAGGAUACUGUUGAUAUUGACCUUCCAUUGUUAGGUUAUUUAGGUCCUUUUGGAGUUCAGAGCUAUAGAAUGGAGAUCAAAAGAGAUGAGGAAGCCAUGGGAGAACACAGAAAAAAGCAUUUGUGUGUACUUG
This 270-nucleotide unclassified non-coding RNA is filed under the name Hevea brasiliensis (rubber tree). Lineage: Eukaryota; Viridiplantae; Streptophyta; Magnoliopsida; Malpighiales; Euphorbiaceae. The record is from RNAcentral.